CAGCCGCCGCGGUAAUACGUAGGUGGCAAGCGUUGUCCGGAAUUAUUGGGCGUAAAGGGCUCGCAGGCGGUUUCUUAAGUCUGAUGUGAAAGCCCCCGGCUCAACCGGGGAGGGUCAUUGGAAACUGGGAAACUUGAGUGCAGAAGAGGAGAGUGGAAUUCCACGUGUAGCGGUGAAAUGCGUAGAGGUGUGGAGGAACACCAGUGGCGAAGGCGACUCUCUGGUCUGUAACUGACGCUGAGGAGCGAAAGCGUGGGGAGCGAACAGGAUUAGAUACCCCUGUAGUCCCUGUCUCUUAUAC
RNAcentral lists this ribosomal RNA (301 nucleotides) under uncultured bacterium. RNAcentral describes it as "partial 16S ribosomal RNA". It matches the Rfam family "Bacterial small subunit ribosomal RNA", at positions 509 to 807 of the family's 1533-position model. The record is from RNAcentral.